UACGGAGGGUGCAAGCGUUGUCCGGAUUUAUUGGGCUUAAAGGGUGCGUAGGCGGCCCGUUAAGUCAGUGGUGAAAGCCUCCAGCUCAACUGGAGAACUGCCAUUGAUACUGGCGGGCUUGAGUACAGACGAGGUUGGCGGAAUUGAUUGUGUAGCGGUGAAAUGCAUAGAUACAAUCAAGAACACCGAUUGCGUAGGCAGCUAACUAGGCUGUAACUGACGCUGAGGCACGAAAGCGUGGGGAGCGAACAGG
This 253-nucleotide ribosomal RNA is filed under the name uncultured bacterium. RNAcentral's name for it is "partial 16S ribosomal RNA". It matches the Rfam family "Bacterial small subunit ribosomal RNA", at positions 524 to 776 of the family's 1533-position model. The record is from RNAcentral.